This 491-nucleotide ribosomal RNA is filed under the name uncultured bacterium. Its description in RNAcentral is "partial 16S ribosomal RNA". It matches the Rfam family "Bacterial small subunit ribosomal RNA", at positions 29 to 506 of the family's 1533-position model. The record is from RNAcentral.
AGUGAACGCUGGCGGUAGGCCUAACACAUGCAAGUCGAACGGCAGCACAGUAAGAGCUUGCUCUUACGGGUGGCGAGUGGCGGACGGGUGAGGAAUACAUCGGAAUCUACUUUUUCGUGGGGGAUAACGUAGGGAAACUUACGCUAAUACCGCAUACGACCUACGGGUGAAAGCAGGGGAUCUUCGGACCUUGCGCGAUUGAAUGAGCCGAUGUCGGAUUAGCUAGUUGGCGGGGUAAAGGCCCACCAAGGCGACGAUCCGUAGCUGGUCUGAGAGGAGGAUCACCACAACUGGAACUGAGCAACGUUCAGGACUCCAACGGGAGGCAGAGUUGGGAAAUAUUGGACAAGGGGCGAAAGCCUGAUCCAGCCAUACCGCGUGGGUGAAGAAGGCCUUCGGGUUGUAAAGCCCUUUUGUUGGGAAAGAAAAGCAGCAGGUUAAUACCCCGCUGUUCUGACGGUACCCAAAGAAUAAGCACCGGCUAACUUCGU